UACACUCCUACGGGAGGCAGCAGUGGGGAAUAUUGCACAAUGGGCGCAAGCCUGAUGCAGCCAUGCCGCGUGUAUGAAGAAGGCCUUCGGGUUGUAAAGUACUUUCAGCGGGGAGGAAGGCGAUAAGGUUAAUAACCUUGUUGAUUGACGUUACCCGCAGAAGAAGCACCGGCUAACUCCGUGCCAGCAGCCGCGGUAAUACGGAGGGUGCAAGCGUUAAUCGGAAUUACUGGGCGUAAAGCGCACGCAGGCGGUCUGUCAAGUCGGAUGUGAAAUCCCCGGGCUCAACCUGGGAACUGCAUUCGAAACUGGCAGGCUAGAGUCUUGUAGAGGGGGGUAGAAUUCCAGGUGUAGCGGUGAAAUGCGUAGAGAUCUGGAGGAAUACCGGUGGCGAAGGCGGCCCCCUGGACAAAGACUGACGCUCAGGUGCGAAAGCGUGGGGAGCAAACAGGAUUAGAAACCCUUGUAGUCCC
Molecule: ribosomal RNA, 473 nt
Filed under: uncultured organism
Description: partial 16S ribosomal RNA
Rfam family: Bacterial small subunit ribosomal RNA
Source: RNAcentral